Molecule: ribosomal RNA, 301 nt
Filed under: uncultured bacterium
Lineage: Bacteria
Description: partial 16S ribosomal RNA
Rfam family: Bacterial small subunit ribosomal RNA
Source: RNAcentral
CAGUCGCCGCGGGAAUACGUAGGGUGCGAGCGUUGUCCGGAAUUAUUGGGCGUAAAGAGCUUGUAGGUGGUUUGUCGCGUCUGCUGUGAAAAUCCGAGGCUCAACCUCGGACUUGCAGUGGGUACGGGCAGACUAGAGUGUGGUAGGGGAGACUGGAAUUCCUGGUGUAGCGGUGGAAUGCGCAGAUAUCAGGAGGAACACCGAUGGCGAAGGCAGGUCUCUGGGCCAUUACUGACACUGAGAAGCGAAAGCAUGGGGAGCGAACAGGAUUAGAUACCCCCGUAGUCCCUGUCUCUUAUAC